This 385-nucleotide ribosomal RNA is filed under the name uncultured bacterium. RNAcentral's name for it is "bacterial SSU rRNA". It matches the Rfam family "Bacterial small subunit ribosomal RNA", at positions 355 to 755 of the family's 1533-position model. The record is from RNAcentral.
UGGGGAAUAUUGCACAAUGGGCGCAAGCCUGAUGCAGCAACGCCGUGUGAGUGAUGAAGGUCUUCGGAUUGUAAAACUCUGUCCUAGGGGAAGAAAAAAAUGACGGUACCCUAGGAGGAAGCCCCGGCUAACUACGUGCCAGCAGCCGCGGUAAUACGUAGGGGGCAAGCGUUAUCCGGAAUCACUGGGCGUAAAGGGUGCGUAGGCGGCCUAGCAAGUCAGAGGUGAAAGGCAUUGGCUCAACCAAUGUAAGCCUUUGAAACUGUUAGGCUUGAGUGCAGGAGAGGUAAGUGGAAUUCCUAGUGUAGAGGUGAAAUUCGUAGAUAUUAGGAGGAACACCAGUGGCGAAGGCGACUUACUGGACUGUAACUGACGCUGAGGCACG